This 255-nucleotide unclassified non-coding RNA is filed under the name plant metagenome. Its description in RNAcentral is "partial contains small subunit ribosomal RNA, internal transcribed spacer 1, and 5.8S ribosomal RNA". The stretch from base 1 to 54 matches the Rfam family "Eukaryotic small subunit ribosomal RNA", at positions 1778 to 1831 of the family's 1831-position model. The record is from RNAcentral.
GGAAGUAAAAGUCGCAACAAGGUUUCCGUAGGUGAACCUGCGGAAGGAUCAUUACUGAGUGAGGGCCCUCUGGGUCCAACCUCCCACCCGUGUUUAUUAUACCUUGUUGCUUCGGUGAGCCCGCCUCACGGCCGCCGGGGGGCAUCUGCCCCCGGGCCCGCGCCCACCGAAGACACCUAGAACUCUGUAUGAAGAUUGCAGUCUGAGCAAAAACUAAAUAAGUUAAAACUUUCAACAACGGAUCUCUUGGUUCCG